This 206-nucleotide ribosomal RNA is filed under the name uncultured bacterium. RNAcentral describes it as "partial 16S ribosomal RNA". It matches the Rfam family "Bacterial small subunit ribosomal RNA", at positions 570 to 774 of the family's 1533-position model. The record is from RNAcentral.
CGUAGGCGGUUUACUAAGUCAGAUGUGAAAGCCCCGGGCUUAACCUGGGAACUGCAUUUGAUACUGGUAGGCUAGAGUAUGAUAGAGGGGGGUAGAAUUCCUGGUGUAGCGGUGAAAUGCGUAGAUAUCAGGAGGAAUACCAGUGGCGAAGGCGGCCCCCCUGGACCAAUACUGACGCUGAGGUACGAAAGCGUGGGUAGCGAACA